This 465-nucleotide ribosomal RNA is filed under the name uncultured bacterium. Its description in RNAcentral is "partial 16S ribosomal RNA". It matches the Rfam family "Bacterial small subunit ribosomal RNA", at positions 338 to 795 of the family's 1533-position model. The record is from RNAcentral.
CCUACGGGAGGCAGCAGUAGGGAAUCUUCCACAAUGGGCGCAAGCCUGAUGGAGCAACACCGCGUGAGUGAAGAAGGGUUUCGGCUCGGAAAGCUCUGUUGUUGGAGAAGAAAGUGCGGGAGAGUAACCGUUCACGCAGUGACGGUAUCCAAACAGAAAGUCACGGCUAACUACGUGCCAGCCGCUGCGGUAAUACGGCGGUGGCAAGCGUUAGCCGGAUUGAUUGGGCGUAAAGCGAGCGCAGGCGGUUGCUUAGGUCUGAUGUGAAAGCCUUCGGCUUAACCGAAGAAGUGCAUCUGAAACCGGGCGACUUGAGUGCAGAAGAGGAAAGUGGAACUCCAUGUGUAGCGGUGGAAUGCGUAGAUAUAUGGAAGAACACCGGUGGCGAAGGCAGCUGUCUGGUCUGCAACUGACGCUGAGGCUCGAAAGCAUGGGUAGCGAACAGGAUUAGAUACCCUGGUAGUC